RNAcentral lists this transfer RNA (71 nucleotides) under Ictidomys tridecemlineatus (thirteen-lined ground squirrel). RNAcentral describes it as "Spermophilus tridecemlineatus (thirteen-lined ground squirrel) tRNA". It matches the Rfam family "tRNA". From Rfam's summary of the family: Transfer RNA (tRNA) molecules are approximately 80 nucleotides in length. The record is from Rfam by way of RNAcentral. Lineage: Eukaryota; Metazoa; Chordata; Mammalia; Rodentia; Sciuridae. RNAcentral also lists the same sequence under 1 other name.
AUUGGUGUUGCUCAGUGGUAGAGCAUGUCUUCAGAUGCCCAAGACUUUAGGUUCAAUCCCUAGCACUAAAU